RNAcentral lists this ribosomal RNA (497 nucleotides) under uncultured bacterium. Its description in RNAcentral is "partial 16S ribosomal RNA". It matches the Rfam family "Bacterial small subunit ribosomal RNA", at positions 29 to 507 of the family's 1533-position model. The record is from RNAcentral.
AAUUAACUCUUUCUUCGUGCCUAAUACAUGCAAGUCGAGCGAACGGACGAGAAGCUUGCUUCUCUGAUGUUAGCGGCGGACGGGUGAGUAACACGUGGAUAACCUACCUAUAAGACUGGGAUAACUUCGGGAAACCGGAGCUAAUACCGGAUAAUAUUUUGAACCGCAUGGUUCAAAAGUGAAAGACGGUCUUGCUGUCACUUAUAGAUGGAUCCGCGCUGCAUUAGCUAGUUGGUAAGGUAACGGCUUACCAAGGCAACGAUGCAUAGCCGACCUGAGAGGGUGAUCGGCCACACUGGAACUGAGACACGGUCCAGACUCCUACGGGAGGCAGCAGUAGGGAAUCUUCCGCAAAGGGCGAAAGCCUGACGGAGCAACGCCGCGUGAGUGAUGAAGGUCUUCGGAUCGUAAAACUCUGUUAUUAGGGAAGAACAUAUGUGUAAGUAACUGUGCACAUCUUGACGGUACCUAAUCAGAAAGCCACGGCUAACUACGUG